Molecule: ribosomal RNA, 425 nt
Filed under: uncultured bacterium
Lineage: Bacteria
Description: bacterial SSU rRNA
Rfam family: Bacterial small subunit ribosomal RNA
Source: RNAcentral
GAUGAACGCUAGCGGUGCGCCUAACACAUGCAAGUCGAGCGAUAUAGCGGCGAACGGGUGAGUAACACGUUGGAACCUGCCCCGAACUCAGGGAUAGCCUGCCGAAAGGCGGAUUAAUACCGGAUAGUCCCGCAAGGGUAAAGAUUUUUCGGUUCGGGAGGGGCCUGCGUAAUAUCAGCUAGUUGGUAGGGUAACGGCCUACCAAGGCUAUGACGUUUAGCUGGUCUGAGAGGACGACCAGCCACAAUGGGACUGAGACACGGCCCAUACUCCUACGGGAGGCAGCAGUGAGGAAUCUUCCGCAAUGGGCGAAAGCCUGACGGAGCGACACCGCGUGAAGGAUGAAGGCCUUUUGGUUGUAAACUUCUUUUCUGAAGGAAUAAAUGAUGAAGUUACUUCAGGAAUAAGCACCGGCUAACUACGUG